AUGACGUUAGGAUAAUAGUGGAAAUCCUUUUAUACUAUAGAGCGAAAUCGAAGUGAUAUAAAAGAUUGAAACGAACAUCCCGAUUCGCU
RNAcentral lists this small RNA (89 nucleotides) under Flavobacterium segetis. RNAcentral describes it as "Flavo-1 RNA". The record is from RNAcentral. Lineage: Bacteria; Pseudomonadati; Bacteroidota; Flavobacteriia; Flavobacteriales; Flavobacteriaceae.